Molecule: ribosomal RNA, 253 nt
Filed under: uncultured bacterium
Lineage: Bacteria
Description: partial 16S ribosomal RNA
Rfam family: Bacterial small subunit ribosomal RNA
Source: RNAcentral
UACAGAGGUCCCAAGCGUUACUGAGAAUCACUGGGUUUAAAGGGUGCGUAGGUGGUCCGUUAAGUCAGUUGUGAAAUCCCCGGGCUCAACCCGGGAAAUGCUUCUGAUACUGGCGGACUUGAGGCCAGUAGGGGUCACUAGAACUGACGGUGGAGCGGUGAAAUGCGUAGAUAUCGUCAGGAAUGCCGGUGGUGAAGACGGGUGACUGGGCUGGUUCUGACACUGAGGCACGAAAGCGUGGGGAGCGAGCGGG